UAGCUCAGUUGGUAGAGCACCACCAUGGUAAGGUGGGGGUCGCCGGUUCAAGCCC
RNAcentral lists this transfer RNA (55 nucleotides) under Enterococcus faecalis. Its description in RNAcentral is "tRNA-Thr". It matches the Rfam family "tRNA", at positions 8 to 60 of the family's 71-position model. From Rfam's summary of the family: Transfer RNA (tRNA) molecules are approximately 80 nucleotides in length. Their secondary structure includes four short double-helical elements and three loops (D, anti-codon, and T loops). Lineage: Bacteria; Bacillati; Bacillota; Bacilli; Lactobacillales; Enterococcaceae. The record is from RNAcentral.